AGAGUGAACGCUGGCGGCGUGCUUAACACAUGCAAGUCGAGCGAGAUUUGACAGCGUAUCGUCAAGUCUAGCGGCAGACGGGUGAGUAAUAUUUGGGCAAUCUGCCCUUGAGUGGGGGACAACCGGCCGAAAGGCUGGCUAAUACCCCAUAAGACCACAGGGAUGCAUAUCCAAGGGGUCAAAGCUCCGCAAGGGGCGCUUAAGGAGGAGCCCGAAUCCUAUCAUGGUAGUUGGCGGGGUAAUGGCCCACCAAGCCGUUGACGGGUAGCCGGCCUGAAAGGGCAACCGGCCACACUGGCACUGAGACACGGGCCAGACUCCUACGGGAGGCAGCAGUGGGGAAUUUGGACAAUGGGGGCAACCCUGAUCCAGCGACGCCGCGUGAAGGAUGAAGGUCUUCGGAUUGUAAACUUCUUUAGAGGGAUGAAUGCCCUGGUGAAUAACCGAGGGUGACAGUACCCUUAGAAUAAGCCACGGCUAACUACGUGCCAGCAGCCG
RNAcentral lists this ribosomal RNA (498 nucleotides) under uncultured soil bacterium. RNAcentral's name for it is "bacterial SSU rRNA". It matches the Rfam family "Bacterial small subunit ribosomal RNA", at positions 26 to 517 of the family's 1533-position model. The record is from RNAcentral.